GGCGACGCCCGGGUGCUGGUCGGCGGUCGGAACAAAUCCGGACCUGACCUCGCGGUUGCCCUGGCCAAGAGAGUGGCCGAGAGGGCGCCUUGCGACGGGGGCUGGGAGGACAGCGGGAGAGCGAGGGCGCGGGGCGGCCUGCCGCGUCCUGCGUCGCAGACACAGCCCGGCGGCGACGUACGGGAGCAGGCCGUUCCCACAAGGAGCAGAUGGCCUGUGGCACGGUCUCCUGCUCUAGGGGACCGCAGGCCCGUCGGGCCGAUGGCCUCGCGGGCGCCGACCCGCGCGUUCCUGACUGACUGGCUUAAGACCCGCUUGUGGGAGAGCCGACGCCGCAGUGACGUCUGGUGUGGCGACGCGAGCUUCGCGCGGCGACUCGCUUGGCCUGUCGCCUUGUUUUAACAGAACCUGGAGGCUGCUCCUCGUUUCAGGUUUGAGCUGCGAAGGGUCACCGCCCCUUCACGGUGUAGCACCGGCUGGACAGGGGGCGUUUGUGGGGAGGGCUUCACCCGCGUUCGGAUUCCCAGCAAAACGGCAAGUGCGCGCGCCCGUGGGGCGACCGCGGGGUCCUUAGUGAGGAUGUCCUGUCGCUUCGGCCGCUUUCCGAGAGGAUGUGGUGGUGUGACCGGAAGACCUGCCUGGAAGCUUCCCCACUUUAUUCUCCGUCGUAGCACACUUCUUAGCCGUUUUCUCAAUUAAUAAUUACACAUUUGUUCAUUUGCCUGUUGAUUGGCUUCUCCACGCCCACCCCAGCCUCAGCUAUAAACUCUGCGAGGGCAGGAACUAUUUCAGUUUCACUUGCCACCACAUAAAAGGCGCACAGCACAGUGCCCGGCGGUGUCCACGUGUUUGAAUGAAUGAAUGAAGAAAUGAUGUAAAAAAGUUGUCAAGGGAGGCCAAAGAAGGCAGCAUGAUAGGAAUGGAAAAAUCUGAUUCCCCAUGCCCCUUAAAGAUUGAUAAGAAGAUCUUUAACCACUGACCUUUUGGAUGCUUGUUAAAAAUGCAAAUUCUGGGGCUGGCCCUGUGGCCCAAUGGUUAAGUUCACGUCCUCUGCUUCAGCAGCCCAAGGUUUCCCAGAUUUGGAUCCUCAGUGUGGACAUGGCAC
This 1105-nucleotide long non-coding RNA is filed under the name Equus asinus (donkey). RNAcentral's name for it is "lncRNA (ENSEASG00005036779.1)". The record is from RNAcentral. Lineage: Eukaryota; Metazoa; Chordata; Mammalia; Perissodactyla; Equidae.